This is a small nucleolar RNA of Actinia tenebrosa (Australian red waratah sea anemone), 71 nucleotides long. RefSeq annotates it as small nucleolar RNA SNORD61. The record is from RefSeq and is a predicted model, not a curated record. Lineage: Eukaryota; Metazoa; Cnidaria; Anthozoa; Actiniaria; Actiniidae.
GGAAUGAUGAACUACAAUCGCUACAAUGAUACUGUGUGAUUAGAUCUACACCUCUAAGAAGUUCUGACCAG